RNAcentral lists this transfer RNA (75 nucleotides) under Parcubacteria group bacterium. RNAcentral's name for it is "tRNA-Arg". It matches the Rfam family "tRNA". From Rfam's summary of the family: Transfer RNA (tRNA) molecules are approximately 80 nucleotides in length. Their secondary structure includes four short double-helical elements and three loops (D, anti-codon, and T loops). Further hydrogen bonds mediate the characteristic L-shaped molecular structure. tRNAs have two regions of fundamental functional importance: the anti-codon, which is responsible for specific mRNA codon recognition, and the 3' end, to which the tRNAs corresponding amino acid is attached (by aminoacyl-tRNA synthetases). tRNAs cope with the degeneracy of the genetic code in two manners: having more than one tRNA (with a specific anti-codon) for a particular amino acid; and 'wobble' base-pairing, i.e. permitting non-standard base-pairing at the 3rd anti-codon position. The record is from RNAcentral.
GCUCCCGUAGUUCAAUGGAUAGAACAAGGCCCUUCUAAGGCCGCGAUGAGGGUUCGAUUCCCCCCGGGAGCACCA